RNAcentral lists this ribosomal RNA (324 nucleotides) under uncultured eukaryote. RNAcentral describes it as "partial 18S ribosomal RNA". It matches the Rfam family "Eukaryotic small subunit ribosomal RNA", at positions 1470 to 1796 of the family's 1831-position model. The record is from RNAcentral.
CCCUUAGAUGUUCUGGGCUGCACGCGCGCUACACUGAAGCGUUCAACGAGUAUUCACCUUGCCCGGGAGGGUUGGGUAAUCUUUUGAAAACGCUUCGUGAUGGGGAUAGAUUAUUGCAAUUAUUAAUCUUCAACGAGGAAUUCCUAGUAAGCGCGAGUCAUCAGCUCGUGCUGAUUACGUCCCUGCCCUUUGUACACACCGCCCGUCGCUCCUACCGAUUGAGCAAUCCGGUGAAUAUUUCGGACCGAAUAUCUGCGGGGCAACCCAUGGACGUUUGGAAAGUCAAGUAAACCUUAUUGCUUAGAGGAAGGAGAAGUCGUAACA